Hypomesus transpacificus is the source of this 82-nucleotide non-coding RNA. The record is from the annotation of a RefSeq genome assembly. Lineage: Eukaryota; Metazoa; Chordata; Actinopteri; Osmeriformes; Osmeridae.
GCUGCGAUGUCCGAGUGGUUAAGGAGUUCGACUUGAAAUCCAGUGGGGUUUCCCCACGUAGGUUGGAACCCUACUCGCAGCG